UUUUGUUCGCUUACCCCCAAAUAGUCGAAUACACUUUCAUUUUCGAGCUCUUUUUUCCCUCUCUGAACAGCUCUCUUUCCCUCUCUUUCUCUCUUGCGAUUUUGAAGGUUUGAAGGUCUCUCUCUUUCCCCUCUCUUUCUCUCUUGCGAUUUCGAAGGUCUGAAGCUCUCUGUGAUUUCGAACCGGCGAUUUUCCCACCUCCAAAUAUAGAAGAGAUGAUUUGAGACUUAAAUCUAUUCAACAGUUCAAGUUAGAUGCUCCCUAUAGUAACGAGGAGAUCAAUGCCGUACGGGAUGAGUGGGUCGAAUUUGUGAAGCCUUUGAUUAUAGAUUAAGUACUUAAGGUUACUACACUUUUCUUAUAAUACAUGAGUAACAAGUUUUAUGAUUAUUGUUAUCUUUUGCAUAUAUUAUUAGUUUAUAUUUAGUUUACGAUAUACAUGGAAUUUAAGUUUUAGAAUCGAUUUUAUUAACAAUUUUUGUAUUGUGUGAAUAGUUAAUAGAAUCGAUUACUAAUUUUAUAUAAGUUUUUGAAAUGUUAUUUUAAUUUUUUUUGUAUUAUGUAUUUACUAUAUUAUAUAGAGUUAUUCUAAAAUUUGAUAAUGCAGGUGGGGAAAAUUGCAUGAAAAAUUUGCAAUUUUCCCUUACUUAUAUUUGUGCUUCAUUUUAUAAGUGACGCAAUAAGUAAAAAAAAAAAGUAUUUUUGUAAUAGAUGUGGCAUUUUUAAACCGACGGAAUAAGUUUUUUGUGACAGCUUUAAAAUGCCAUGAAACAUUUAGCGUCAUUUUUUAACCGACGCUUAAAAUAAAAUAGAAAAGUAUUUAUUUAGCGUCGGUUUUCAAAUGACGAAAAUUGUAUUUUGCGUCUUUUUAAAAACGACGCAAAUAAAAUACUAUUUACGUCUACGGAUUAUACGUCGGUUCUGUAGACCGACGCAAAAUCUUUAUAUGUCACUUAUAAAACGACGA
Molecule: long non-coding RNA, 967 nt
Organism: Cannabis sativa
Lineage: Eukaryota; Viridiplantae; Streptophyta; Magnoliopsida; Rosales; Cannabaceae
Exons: 3
Source: RefSeq, a predicted model, not a curated record